AUGGAUUCAUCUAGAGACCGGCUCCUAGCCCUAGCAGAGGAAUAUCCGGAGUAUGAUAUGGAGCUGCUGGGGCACGUCCUCGACAACGAGAAUCUUCGAGUCAAGUACAUCCCGGAGGCAAUAAAAGUGCUCUUCGAGACGCCGUCCGGCUUUGCGAUCUUCGCCAUCGACUCUGGCUACCUCUAUGACAACGACAGGGACUUCACUGGCAUUGACACGAUCUGGGUUCACUGUGUCAAGAAGGAAUCUGCGGACUUUUUUCUCUGGCCAAAGGGAUUCCUAAAGCUUGACAAGGCGACCAAGGCCAUAGCCAUUAAUUCUGAUGGUAUUCAUAAAAGCCUUGCUGAAUUUAUCGAGCAGAAGGUUGGGAUGGAGGAUAUACUAUUGGUCGGUGAAUCUGCAUACGUAGAAGUUAUUGAAGCACACGUGGGAGUUACAUGUAGAUGCGAUGCUAAUGCAAUUGAGCUGAUGUGGGGCCUGCAAAACCUAUUGCAUGAUUUAGUGCCUGAAGAGGAAUCGGAGUUCGGAAAGAAUGACCGCAAGUACUAUAGUCAAAAAUUACUUGCCUACCUGCGUCACAUUGACAAUGAGGUCAGGCCUGAAAUGAUCAAUGGAGAGAUUGCUUUAUUGGCUUCCAUCAUACACCGUUGUAAUGUUACCAACAAGAAUUACCGCGACAACAUGCAUAAGCUUGAUAAGGUUCUUUACAAGAGAUCUGGCCUCAGGACUGACCAAUGGGACACUGUGACGCAUGCUACAGCUCUAGCUAAAUUGAUUGGAGAAUCUGUACCCAUCCCUGAAAGUAUGUUCAGUUCUGUCGAAAAGGGAACUCUAACUAGUAAUCUAGUCGAUUACAGUGAUGAGAUUGACAAGGACACUAUAAAAGUAAUAUACGAGCAUGUGGUACAACUUAAUAAACUUAAGUUUUCAACGCUGCACAAGCUCAAGAUUCUUCUUUGCGAUGCUAAAGCAGCAGUCUUGCGGGAGCCUCGGGAGUCUGAAGAGAUGUUGGUUGAGGUGCCACAAGUGUUCAGUUCCAAGAGGAGUUGCCAGGAGGAGGCUGAAUGUGACCGGCAGAAUAAGAGUCUCAAGGUUAACGACGGUGACAGUGAUGUGGUCCAAAGUGAUGCAAUUAUGGAUGCAAAAACGAAUUAG
This 1155-nucleotide ribosomal RNA is filed under the name Triticum aestivum (bread wheat). RNAcentral describes it as "partial small subunit ribosomal RNA". The record is from RNAcentral. Lineage: Eukaryota; Viridiplantae; Streptophyta; Magnoliopsida; Poales; Poaceae.